RNA transcript from Micropterus dolomieu (smallmouth bass), 4370 nucleotides. It is a transcript of the gene named nuclear factor of activated T-cells, cytoplasmic 3-like, with no coding region annotated. The record is from RefSeq and is a predicted model, not a curated record. The transcript has 13 exons. Lineage: Eukaryota; Metazoa; Chordata; Actinopteri; Centrarchiformes; Centrarchidae.
GUUUACGGGGAGCCCGUGAACGCAGCACGAGGAUCAACCGCGGAGAGAGUAAAACUCGCAGCAACCGAAGAAACAGCGAACACAACAAGUUUAACACAAUAAUGCGGCUCUGACGCUUCUGCUGCGGAGCGCGGGGACCUAUUUAUUGAUCGAGUCUAUGUCCGUUAACAACUUUUAAUCGGGGGAAUUUAGUCGACGUGUUUGUUGAGACGGAGUUCUGCUUUCAGUCGGAUGGAAGUGAGCGAGACGGCUCAGUUUUAAAAGACAGACAGGUCGGUUUAACGGACAUUUCCUGCGUCGCCGGUUCGAUGUCCACAUUAAACUUCGCAGAGGAGCUGGACUUCAGGCUGAUCUUCGAGGACGACGGCAGACAGACUGCAGGUCCAGAUCUCAAUGUGAGGACACCUCCAGCCUCCACACAGGCUCUGACCGAGCAGCCCAUCUUCCAGGAGCUGCAGAGUCACCCUUUAUGCUUCUCCACUGCAGACGGGUACCAAUGCCAGGGGCCCCAGUACGGGGCCCAGGGGAACCCCAGAGCCUUUGACUGCCCGAGUAUCCAGAUCACCUCCAUCGCACCUAAUAAUCAUGUUGACCCAGGCAGUAGCCAGGGUGCUUUGGCGGCGGGCGGGGCAGAGGGGGGUUACCCCGAUGUGUCCUGGUCCAGAGGCCAGCUCUACCUGCCCCUGGACCCCUGCUACCGCGAUACGGCGCUCUGCCCGAGCCCCUGCAGCAGCCUGUCCUCCAGGAGCUGGAUGUCCGACCUGUCCUCCUGCGAGUCCUUCUCCCACGUCUACGAUGACGUGGAGGGGGAACUGAGCGACGCCGCCCGCCUCGCCCUCGGGUCCCCCCUCGGGUCACCUGUAGGGUCCCCGGGCUGCGGGGGCGGGGCAUUCGGGGUGGAGCUGUGGCAGCAGAUGUACCAGCAUCCUCAGGCCUUCAGCCCGGCGCUGUCGCCUCAUCAGUCGCCCCGUCAGUCGCCGUGCCACUCCCCUCGCACCAGUGUCACAGAGGAGAGCUGGCUGCACCGCCGGCCCACCUCCAGGCCGUCAUCCAGACCGACCUCCCCCUGCGGGAAGAGACGCCACGCCAGUGCCGACCCCCAGGCCCGCUCGCCGUCCCCUCACCACUCCCCCAGCCCCACACCGGGCGCCUCUCCACGAGGCAGCGUGACGGACGACACCUGGGCGGGAAGCCCCGCCGGCGCCCUGGGAUCCCUUCUGAUGUCCGGCUACCAGGAACUGGACGUCCCCUCCAAGACCAGGAGGACGUCGGGGAGCCAGCUGGGGCUCGUGACCGGUCAGGGAGACCCCGGGCUGGAGACCUUCCUGGAUUCCCCCGGGGAGGAGGGACGUGAACAGGACGGCCUGGCCGAGCUCUUCCUUCAGGUUCCCUCCCACUUCAGCUGGAACAAACCCAAACCUGGAAACCCUCCUCUCUUCAGGUCCUCAUCGCCCCCUCCUCUGGACUGGCCCCUGCCCAGCCAGUUUAACCAGUGUGAGCUGAAGCUGGAGGUCCAGCCCAGAUCCUACCACAGGGCGCAUUACGAGACGGAGGGCAGCAGAGGGUCCAUUAAGGCGGCUACUGUAGGACAUCCUGUCAUCAAGUUGACCGGAUACAGCGAACAGCCGGUCAGCCUGCUGUUAUUCAUCGGCACUGCAGACGACCGCUACCUUCGCCCUCAUUCCUUCUACCAAGUCCACCGGGUGACGGGGAAGAUGGUUACCACCAGCUGCCAGGAGAAAAUCGUGAGUGGCACCAAAGUCCUGGAGAUCCCCCUGCUUCCAGAAAACAACAUGUCCGCCAGCAUUGACUGUGCCGGCAUCUUGAAGCUGCGUAACGCCGACAUCGAGCUGAAGAAAGGAGAGACGGACAUCGGGCGUAAAAACACGAGGGUGCGAGUUGUGUUCAGGGCCGCCGUCCCUCAGCCGGACGGCCGGAUGCUGUGGCUGCAAACGGCAUCUAUUCCUGUGGAGUGCUCCCAGCGCUCGGGCCAGGAGCUUCCCCAGGUGGAGAGCUUCAGUCCAGCCAGCUGCUCUGUGGACGGAGGAGAGGAGCUGCUCGUCACCGGAUCCAACAUCUCAGCACAGUCCAGGGUUGUUUUCAUGGAGAAAGGGCCCGAUGGAAGGUCACUGUGGGAAACGGACGCCAGAGUUGUACCGGAAAAAAGCAGCAAAUCCAGCAUCGUGGUGGAGGUUCCUCCUUACAAUAAGAAGACCACGGAUCCGGUUCAAGUCCAGUUUUACGUCUCAAACGGGAGGAAAAGAAGAAGUCUAACACAGAACUUCACCUACCUGCCUGCAGUCCGACGUCACCUCCCUGCUGAGGUCAAACAGGAGCGCUGGGAGGCGGACCACAAUCCACCUGGCUUCAGUCCGGCCUCCUGCCAGGUGCCCUCCCAUGACCAAGUACUCGGCCCAGACGUGGUUUAUUAUGAUUCCUGUGACGUCCCGGUGCAUCGCGGUCCUCCUUCCCAGAACGUGCCUCGUCUUCAUCACCCCCCUCCCUCCUCUGUCCCCCUGCAGACCCCCUCAAUGUUUCCUCCCACGUCCUCAAUCCCUCUUCACACCUCCGCCUCGCAGGCCUCCUCUGUCCCCCAUCAGAUCUUGAUUCCUCUUCAGGCCUCUUCUGUCCCCCAUCAGACCUUCACCAUCCCGCCUCAGACCUCCUCCCUCCCUCCCCAGACCGCCUCAGUCUCUCCACAGAUCUCUCCUCAAAUCUCCGCGAUGCCUCCCCAGGCUUCUUCGGCGCCCCUUCAGACCUUCACCAUCCCCCGUUCCACAUCCUCUGGUGGACCUCAGAGGGAACACUUUCCAUCUCAGAGUUCCUCAAGAGCCUUUGUGACCCCUGCUGACCCCCAGAAGGACACUCUGCUCUCUAGCCCAGGAGAGGCGCAGAGCAUCAAGCAGGAGCCUGAAGACCAGCCAAAUCUGGGAUCCCUGGGCCUCCAGGAGAUCACUCUGGAUGAUGCACUUGAAGUCCUGGAACUUUGGGGGAGGUGGUGAUGUGGAGGCUCCGUCCUCGUCUUCCUCCAUCUCCUGGUUCAGCUUUGCAAGGACCGCUUUGAAUAUGUCUUCAGUAACAUCUGGUUGCUUCGUUUCCUGGUUCAGGAGGUUCAGUCGAGGAUCCGCCGCCGCCACGACUACCUGCGAGACCCGGCAAGGGUAGCUAAAGAACAAGACCGGAUAGAAACCGAAACAUCAGACGGCAGCUUCGUUCAGAGAGCAGUUGCUGAAGCAGCGGGAGCGAACAGGCUGAGCGAACAGGCCGAGCGAACAGGCGAGCGUCUCGCCGCCACCUGUCGCUCGUCGUCAGAGGCUGGAACGGAAACGAUCAAACAAACAAGAGCUUGACGUGAUAUGAUGUCUGUGAAGUCAGCAAAGUCUCGCUUUAACCUGACGUCGUCUUUCCAGGUUUCCCGUAGCGUCUGCAGAUGAGCUGGCAGCCGCCGACCGUGUCGACAUGGUCGCCUCUUCUUCUUCAGAAGAAGAAGAACUCUGAGGAGUGUGGACACAUCAUGUCCGACACGCUGGAUGUCCCUGAACGCCGGUGAAGGACGUGUGGAGGCCAGAGAGGCCAGAGAGGCGGCCGCCGGCCCUGGAGUCGCCACUCAGCCGCACAUCAACCACUUCUUCCACUUUGAUGGUGGGACAUUAAAGUACAUCUCUCUUAAGCUGCUUUCAUCAGUUCCUCUGCUGCUCCGUUAUCUUUUGUAUCGGGACAUUAAAGGUCUGUAGCGCCAUGUUGUUCUGAGAGAACACAAGUGUUUGAUGGUGAAAAUAGAGACACAGCUUUACUAUUCUUAGAUUAAAGUUUGUCCUUUUUAGGACAUCUCAUCUGUGCAUCAGUCCAAGUCUCAGCUGUGCUUUGAUGAUGGUUCCACUGUGACAGCAUGUUAAAGGAAAAGUUCGGCUCUCCAAUAAUCAGUAUUUUCUCUAUUAAAAGGGAAUCUAAUGACGGUACUGUCAAUAUAAAACUAAAGCCAGCAGGUCAUUAGCUUAGCUUAGCAUAAAGACAGGAAGCAAAGGGAGACCGCUAGCCUGGCUCUGUCCAAAAUUAAACCAACAUCACAUAUAAAGCUCACUAAUGAACAAGCGUCUCAUUUAGUUUAAUCCGCAAACAAACAGAAAGUAUAUCUCCCAAAAAUGCUGAACUUGCAGUAUUUUUGCACGCUUAAACAAACCGAUGCAUGUUAACACGCUGAUGCUAAGCUAUGUGUGAUGUUAGCAUAUUCAUGUUGCAGUGUCCUGUAAUGCUCCAUCCACAGGACUGUCCACCUCCGACAGUGAUUAAUACGUUUAUUUAUAUUUAUUGUAUAACUGAUUGAUACUUCAGUGUUUGUCUGUGGGAACCAAUAAACUGAGUUAAAUCGA